CCUACGGGUGGCUGCAGUGGGGAAUAUUGCACAAUGGGGGAAACCCUGAUGCAGCGACGCCGCGUGAGUGAAGAAGUAUUUCGGUAUGUAAAGCUCUAUCAGCAGGGGAGAAAAUGACGGUACCUGAUUCAGAAGUCCCGGCUAACUACGUGCCAGCAUCCGGGGUAAUACGUAGGGGGCAAGCGUUAUCCGGAUUUACUGGGUGUAAAGGGGGCGUAAACGGCAGCACAAGUCUGGAGUGAAAUGCCGGGGGUUAACCCCGGAACUGCUUUGGAAACUGUGCAGCUAGAGUGCAGGAGAGGUAAGUGGAAUGCCUGGUGUAGCGGUGAAAUGCGUAGAUAUUAGGAGGAACACCAGUGGCGAAGGCGGCUUACUGGACUGUAACUGACGUUGAGGCUCGAAAGCGUGGGGAGCAAACAGGAUUAGAUACCCUUGUAGUC
RNAcentral lists this ribosomal RNA (440 nucleotides) under uncultured bacterium. RNAcentral's name for it is "partial 16S ribosomal RNA". It matches the Rfam family "Bacterial small subunit ribosomal RNA", at positions 338 to 795 of the family's 1533-position model. The record is from RNAcentral.